RNAcentral lists this long non-coding RNA (6895 nucleotides) under Sus scrofa (pig). RNAcentral's name for it is "lncRNA (ENSSSCG00035055645.1)". The record is from RNAcentral. Lineage: Eukaryota; Metazoa; Chordata; Mammalia; Artiodactyla; Suidae.
CUAUGAAAAUUCCAGUGAUAUUUUUUGCAGAAAGAGUUAAAAAAAAAUCCUAAAAUUCGUAUAGAAUCUCAAGGGACCUCAAAUAGCCAAAAAGAACUUGAAAAAGAACAAAACUGGAGGAUUUACACCCCUGAUUUCAUGACUUACUAUAAAGCUAUAUAAAAAGGGUGUGGCAUUGGCGUAAACACAGAUAUAAAGACCAAUGGAAUAGAAAAGAGAGCCUGAAGAUAAAACCUCACAUAUAUGGUCAAAUGAUUUUUGACAAGGGUACCAAGACCAUUCAAUAGGAAGGGACAGUCUUUUCAACAGUUAAUGCUGGGGGAGUUCCUGAAAUGGCUCAGUGGUUAACGAGUCUGACUAGGAACCAUGAGGUUGUGGGUUUGAUCCCUGGCCUUGCUCAGUGGGUUAAGGAUCCGGCGUUGCCGCGAGCUGUGGUGUAGGUUACAGACGCGGCUCGGAUCCAGCGUUCCUGUGGCUCUAGCGUAGACCAGCAGCUGUAGCUCCGAUUGGACCCCUAGCCUGGGNAAAAAAAAAAAAAAAAAAAAAAAAAAAAAAAGCAGUUAAUGCUGGGAAAACUCGGUCUUUACGUGCAAAAGAAUGAAGGUGGACUUUUACCGAACUCCAUAUACAAAAAUUAACUCAAAUUGGAUCAAGAACCUAAAAUAUAAGGCCUCAAACAAUAACUUUUAGAAAACAUAAGACAAAACUUUAAGAUGUUGGAUUUGGCAGUGAUUUCUUAGAUAUGACACCAAAGGCACAGGUAAGAAGAGAAAUAGACAAAUUGGACUUCAUGACAAUUUUUUUAAUGAGUGCAUCAAAUACACUACAGAGUAAAUAACAACCCAUAGAAUGAGAGGAAAUAUUUGCCAAUCAUGUAUCUGAUAUAGGAUUAAUAUCCAGAAUAUAUAGAGAACUCCUAAAAGACAACACAAAAACAAACAAAAAAUUCAAAAGUUGACAAAGGAUUUAAAUAGACAUUUCUGAAAAAAGGAUUAUACAAAUGGCCAAUAAUCACAUGAUAAGAUAUUCAACAUCAGUAAUUAUUAGGAAAAUGUAAAUUCCCAAACCAGAAAACAACCAGUGCAGGUGAAGAUUUGGAGAAAUCGGGACACCUGUGCACUCUUGGUGGGAGGGUAGAAUGAUGAAACUGCUGUGGGAAGCAGCAUGGCAGCACAUGCAAAACUAAAAAUAGAGUUACCAUAUGUUCCACCAGUUCCACUUCUGCUAUAUAUCCAAAAGAACUGGAAGCAAGGUCUUGAAGAGAUAUUUGUCCACCAUGUUCAUAGCACCAUUAUUCACAGUAGCUAAAAUGUUGAAGCAACACAAGUGUCCAUCAACUGAUGAAUAGAUAAGCAAAUUCUACAUACAUGCAAUGGAAUAUUACUCAGCCUUUAAAAGGAAGAAAAUUUUGCAUUAUACUACAACAUGGGUGAACCUUGAGGACAUUAUGCUGAGUGAAAUAAGUCAGUUACAAAAGUAUAAAUACAGUGUGACUCCACUUAUAUGGGGUACUUAGAACAGUCAAAAUUAUAAAGACAGAAAGUACAGUGGUGGUUGCCAUGGGGUAGGGGAGGAGAGUCUGAGGAGCUGGUGUUUAAUGGGUAUUGAGUUUCAGUUUCAUGAGAUGGAAAAAUUUAUGGAGAUGGAAGGUGGUGAUGGUGCACAACACUGAGUGCAUUUAAUAUCUCUGACACGGACAUGUAGAAUCGUUAAGAUGGGAGUUCCCACUGUGGCUCAGGGGCGAUGAACCCGACUAGCAUCCAUGAGGAUGCAGGUUUGACCUCUGGCCCUGCUCAGGGCGUUAAGGAUCCAGCAUUGCCACAGCUCUGGUAUGGGUCAAAGGUGCAGCUGGGAUCUGGUGUUGCUGUGGCUGUGGCGUAGGCUGGCAACUGUAACCCCAUUUGACCCCUAGGAACUGUCAUAUGCUGUGGGUGUAGCCCUAUAAUGAAAAAAAAAAAGGUUAAAAUGGUAAUUGCUAUGCUGUGUGUAUUUUACAUUACAAAAGUGGAAAAAAGUAAAAACUUUGGUACAAUCAUGCUAUGGAAUAUUACUCAGCAAUAGAAAGACAUGAACCGUUUACACCCAACUUGCAUAACUCUGCAGUGAAUUAUGCUGAAAAAAAUCCCAUCCCAAAAGUUUACAUUCUGUAUAGUUUCACCUGUAUGGCAUUCUCAAAAUGACAAAAUAGUGGAAAAGGAGAACAGAUUAGUGGUGCCAGGGCUUAGGGAAGAAAAAGAGAGAAGUGAGUCUAACCAUAAAAGGACGGAUGAGGCAUUCUUGUGGUUGUGGAAUGUUCUGUGUCUUCGCUGUGAAUUGCUGGUUGUGACAUUUUACUAGAGUUUUGCAAAUAUCACCAUUGGGGAAAACCGGGUGAAGAGCACACUGGAUAUCUCUGAAUUUUUCUUCUAUUUGCAUGUGAAUCUUUUUAUCUUAAAAUAUGUUUAAUAAUUAAAAAACAAAAAUACUAAUAUAAAUGAGUGAAUAAAUAAGGUGUAUCAGUUACUCCAGUACUUUAGCUUCUGAGUACAUUGCAGAGCAUCAUAAAUAUUUAUUGGGAACUUACCAUGUGCAGAACACUGUUUUAGCCCAAGAUACAGCAACAAACAAUGACAAUUUAAAAGAACAAUAAGCACAAGCCGUACUCCAAUUGAUGCAUCUCUUUUCAAGUUUAUUUAACAUUAGUUUUAGCCUUAAUGAUCAAAGUGUUUGCUGGAUUUGUUUUCUGAUAGGAAUGUUAUGACUGGAUUUUAAAAUUAAGUGAGUUAUAAACACAUUCAUUUGCGAAUAACUGCAAUGACUCAAAAGCAUAUUACUUAAUUAUCUUUGGGUCAGAUUAGUAGACAGACAGACGCUUCACCCAGGUAAAGGUGCUCAUUUACCUUUCCUGUGACAGACUCUGGCUAUAACAUUUAUUCACGUAAUAGGUAUAAACAUUUGUUUGGUUAAAAUAGCACUGGACUGGACUUCCAGUCCUAGCUCAGUGGUAUGAACUCGACUAGUAUCCAUGGGGAUGCAGGUUCAGUCCCUGGCCUUGCUCAGUGGGUUAAGGAUCCAGCCUUGCUGUGAGCUGUGGUGUAGGUCACAGUUGCGACUCAGAUCCCGCAUUGCUGUGGCUAUGGCGUAGGCCGGCAGCCACAGCUUGAACUCAGCCCCCUAGCCUGGGAACCUCCAUAUGCCAUGGGUGCAGCCCUAAAAAGACAGAAAAAAAAAAAAAAAGGCACUGGAUGAUUUUAAUGAAUUUCUUAAUAGAAGGUAAGGGAUAUUUUAAAAUUUAUUUAUUAUUCAAAUAAAUUUGGCAAUACGCCAUCCUCUCUCAACUUGUGAGCCAAUAAGAACAUGGAGAAUCUAUCCUUGAAUUUAUCAGUCAUUUAAAACUAUUCACUUAGAAUGGGUAAGCAAUGAAGUCCUGCUGUAUAGCACAGGGAACUAUAUCCAGUCUCUUGGGCUAGACCAUGAUGGAGAAUAACAGAAGAAACGGAAUGAAUGUGUAUGUGUGGCUGUACAGCAGAAAUUGGCACAACACUGUAAAUCAACCAUAAUUUUUAAAAACUCUGCAAAAUAAUCAGGAUCCAAAGCUAUUUUUUGCAAUAUUUAUCACCUAUUGAUGGUAAAUUAUUAAAAUUCCUAUGGGUCAUAUUAUUUAAUUUGGAGUUAAUUAAAAUGAAACUGUAUAAAUAGAAUGUUGUAUAAAUGCAUGUGCUAAGUGUUGAUAUGGCUAAGGCGUUGUAAUGCAUGCUGGUUCAGAUAAAAUAAAGGAUCCUUCUUCCUAAUCUGUGUAUACACUCAUCCACGCAUAAGCGUGUGUAUAAUGUGGGUUAUGUAUUUAACAUGCACAUAGUUCAAAGGAAUGAACAUUUAGUUAAAAUUAUAAAACUUAACUCCUAAUUCUGGGUAUUCCCAUAAAUAACUAAAUGAAUUUGUUCACAUCAUUUAAUUUUUUUGAGUCUCAGUUUCCUCAUCAGUAAAAUGAUAUAAAAAUAUCUGCCUUUUAUCUUUUAUAUGUCAUCAUAAAAAUCAAAUUGGGAGUUCCCACUGUGGCUCAGUGGGUUAUGAACCCGACUAGUAUCCAUGAGUAUGUGGAUUUGAUCCCUGGCCUUGCUCAGUGGAUUAAGGAUCCGGCAUUGCUGUUAGCUGUGGUGCAGAUUGCAAACUUGGCUUGGAUCUGGUGUUGCUGUGGCUCUGGUGCAGGUCAGCAACUGCAGGUCUGAUUUGACCCCUAGCCCGGGAACUUCCAUAUGCCACAGGUGUGGCCCUAAAAAAAAUAAAAUAAAAAAAUAAAACUGAGGAGUUCCCUGGUGGCCAAGCAGUUAAGGAUCUGACAUUGUCACUGCUGUGGCUCAGGUCACUGCUGUGGUGUGAGUUCAAUCCCUAGCCCCAGAACUUCUGCAUGCUGUGGCCGUGGACAAAAAAUCAAAUUAAGAAGCAGAUAUGAGCAAGAUUUCAUAAGUAGAGAGGGUUCUUCAAACACAACCUUUCAUUAUAAAACAUGGCAGAAUUUUGCGAUAAACUCAAUUUAGUUAACAAUUUUUGAAUGACUAAAUAAACUUUUAAACAUAUGAUUAGUAGAAAAGUAAGGGCAUGUUACAGAUGCCCAUAGGUCACUCUCCAAAUGUCUACAGGUGCUCCUGAGCAAUUUAUCCUCUUCUAAUUAAGCUUGUUUUGCUUCAAUAUAUGAACAACCAAGAAAAAUGAUAAUUUAUCAUGGCACUUUGUUCUCCGUUAUGUUUAAUUAUAUUAACAUUAACUAUGUUUAAUUAUGACUUAUUAACACUAAUUUUAAAAGCUUAUUCUGUCCUGAGAAUAAACUAAGAGAAUAGGAAAAACAUAACCUCCUUGCCGGAGGGGAACAUUUCUCCCAUUGACACGUUACUUGAGAUCAUACUAUUUAAUAACAGCUCCAGUGCUGUUACUAGUACAGUCGCUGAAAUGAUUCCACCAGCUCCACAGCACUGUAAAUAUAAUAGUUCUUUUGGUUUUUUCAACCCGUGGCAUAUGGAAGUUCCCAGGCUAGGUGUUGACUCGGAGCCAUAGCUGCCAGCCUGCACUGCAGCCACAGCAACGCAGGAAGCGUCAGCAACCUACUCCUACACCACAGCUCACAGCAAUGCCAGAUCCCUAACCCACUGAGCGAGGGCAGGGAUUGAACCCACAUCCUCAUGGAUACCAGUCAAAUUCAUUUCCGCUGGGCCAUGACAAGAACCCCCUAUUUGUUUUUUGACGCAGCUCAAAUUGACACAGAUUCAGCUACUUGUGGGCUAAACAGUGUUUGUGAUGGGUUACAUUAUCGACCUUUUAAUACUCUUGUCUCUACGGGAGGAUAUGUUUCAGGUUCCCUUAAUUUUAUUUAUAAGUGAACUUUGGAAACAUAUCCAUUUGUAAUAUGCCUAUACCCUCAUGUAACAAUAUUGCUCUAUCUUUUAUUAAAAAUGCAUUGCAUUUAACUACAUAUGAUAUGAUAAUAAUUAAAAAACAAAGAAUGCUUUUCUAGUAUUUCCUUUUCCUAUUUAGAAGCAUCUAGGUCAUUCUCUGCUCUGUGCUUCAGAAGAAGGCUGAGGACAAAAAAAAAAAGAUAGAUUCAAGAAGGUAUUUCCUGGCAUUUGGGGAUCAGCCGCUCAGGCCUGAAUAGAGGAGUGGAUGGGGAGGAAGUGAAAUGGACUCCGUUCAAAGACAAUAAAGCUGAUUCAGGGCAGCACCUGAUGUUGCAAGAGCCAUGCUUCCUGGUUCCUUCUUACCUCCAGACCGGAUAACAACCUCCUGGGCCCAGACUGGAAGAGGUGUCGGAAAGGAGAUUAGAGGUGAGUAGAUGCUGAUGAUGGUGGGUGUCAAGGCCCUGCCCCUCUGCUUUCAGUGCACCCUGGAGACCCGGUAGGAAAGGGAGGCAGCAGCCAUCAUGAUAGGCUUGGGCUCUGAAGACAUCCUUACAGAUCUUCCCUCAGCAAGGGCCAGCAUCAUAGACGAGUGCCUCAGAGCUGGUGCUGGACCCCUACUGACGGGAAAAGGACUCAGCAAAGAGCAGCAGGCACGAUGACCAGAGGCCAGAGGGAGCAAGGACAAUGUAGCAGAUGCCGUGUUGACAGAUGACAGCCAGAAAUCCACAGCUGCCACACAUCCUCCUGUGCCUCAUGUGGCUCCGGGAACCUAGGUGGGAGCCUGCAUAAAUGAGUGGGCAGAAAAUCCAAACUGAGUGGGCGAAAGGAGAGCUGGGAAUAUUUUCCUGCAAACAUUAGGAAUUAAAUGGACAUUAGCAAGCAAGGCGGUCUUCAUAAACAUUCUAACACCCCUCUUAAGAAAGAAUAUUUUGGUUAUAAACCACAGUCUUAGGAAUAAUUUAUUUUGCAUUAAAAUACAUGUUUAAACUUAGGGAUUGUAUUGAUUUUUUGUAUAAAUCUCUUGAGUAGAAAGUAAAUUAUAGAAUAUUAUGUACAUUUUGAUAUCUAAAUAAAAAGAAUAGGAAACAAUAUGUUAUUUUUCAUACAAAACCAUAAAAAUACAGUAAGAAUUUACACCAAAUUUAUUGGAGAAGUUCCUUUGGGGAGGAAGCAAGUGAGACAGGGGUUUCAAGUAUAGCUAUAAUGUUUGUUUUUAGGAAAAAUAGUUAAAACAUAUUAAAAUAUGUAAAACUCACUCUUAUUCUUCCUCGCUUUCAGAAUAAGCCUUUAGUAAAAAUGCCAGUGUUAUCAUCUACUAGUUUCUUUUUCCCUCAGUGGCAGUUGAUAUUGAUGACGACAGGGAAGUUCAAGUAUCUACAGAAAUGUGUUGAUGGAGUCCCUGGUGGCUCAGUGGAUUAGGAAUCUCAUGUUAUCACUGUGUAGUUCAGGCUGCUGCUGUGACAGGGUUUGAUCCCUGGCCUGAGAACUGCAUGCCAUGGAUGUGGCCAAAAAAAAAAAAAAAAAAA